This 497-nucleotide ribosomal RNA is filed under the name uncultured bacterium. RNAcentral describes it as "partial 16S ribosomal RNA". It matches the Rfam family "Bacterial small subunit ribosomal RNA", at positions 28 to 507 of the family's 1533-position model. The record is from RNAcentral.
GAUGAACGCUGGCGGCGUGCCUAAUACAUGCAAGUCGAGCGAACGGACGAGAAGCUUGCUUCUCUGAUGUUAGCGGCGGACGGGUGAGUAACACGUGGAUAACCUACCUAUAAGACUGGGAUAACUUCGGGAAACCGGAGCUAAUACCGGAUAAUAUUUUGAACCGCAUGGUUCAAAAGUGAAAGACGGUCUUGCUGUCACUUAUAGAUGGAUCCGCGCUGCAUUAGCUAGUUGGUAAGGUAACGGCUUACCAAGGCAACGAUGCAUAGCCGACCUGAGAGGGUGAUCGGCCACACUGGAACUGAGACACGGUCCAGACUCCUACGGGAGGCAGCAGUAGGGAAUCUUCCGCAAAGGGCGAAAGCCUGACGGAGCAACGCCGCGUGAGUGAUGAAGGUCUUCGGAUCGUAAAACUCUGUUAUUAGGGAAGAACAUAUGUGUAAGUAACCGUGCACAUCUUGACGGUACCUAAUCAGAAAGCCACGGCUAACUACGUG